GGGUCUUUGAUGACAAUCUUCCUUUCAUGAAGAGCGAUGGUGACAUAAAAAUCAUGCUCAAUAGGAUUACGCCGAGGCCC
Small nucleolar RNA from Jaculus jaculus (lesser Egyptian jerboa), 80 nucleotides. Its record names the gene SNORD115. It matches the Rfam family "Small nucleolar RNA SNORD115". From Rfam's summary of the family: HBII-52 is a member of the C/D class of snoRNAs, which contain the C (UGAUGA) and D (CUGA) box motifs. HBII-52 is encoded in a tandemly repeated array with another C/D snoRNA, HBII-85, in the Prader-Willi syndrome (PWS) region of chromosome 15. Lineage: Eukaryota; Metazoa; Chordata; Mammalia; Rodentia; Dipodidae. The record is from Ensembl.